GUAUGGCUCAGUGGUGGAGCACUUGUCUAGCAUGCAUGAGACAUGGGUUCAAUCCCCAGCACA
This 63-nucleotide transfer RNA is filed under the name Marmota monax (woodchuck). RNAcentral describes it as "tRNA.Ala". Lineage: Eukaryota; Metazoa; Chordata; Mammalia; Rodentia; Sciuridae. The record is from RNAcentral.